Molecule: ribosomal RNA, 346 nt
Filed under: uncultured bacterium
Lineage: Bacteria
Description: bacterial SSU rRNA
Rfam family: Bacterial small subunit ribosomal RNA
Source: RNAcentral
ACGUUAAUAGCGUGCUCGUUUGACGUUAGCUGCAAGAAGAAGCACCGGCUAACUCCGUGCCAGCAGCCGCGGUAAUACGGAGGGUGCGAGCGUUAAUCGGAAUUUACUGGGCGUAAAGCGCAUGCAGGUGGUUUGUUAAGUCAGAUGUGAAAGCCCCGGGGCUCAACCUCGGAAUUGCAUUUGAAACUGGCAGACUAGAGUACUGUAGAGGGGGUAGAAUUUCAGGUGUAGCGGUGAAAUGCGUAGAGAUCUGAAGGAAUACCGGUGGCGAAGGCGGCCCCCUGGACAGAUACUGACACUCAGAUGCGAAAGCGUGGGGAGCAAACAGGAUUAGAUACCCUGGGAA